RNAcentral lists this non-coding RNA (135 nucleotides) under Curtobacterium sp. RNAcentral's name for it is "FMN sequence". It matches the Rfam family "FMN riboswitch aptamer (RFN element)". From Rfam's summary of the family: The RFN element is a highly conserved domain that is found frequently in the 5'-untranslated regions of prokaryotic mRNAs that encode for flavin mononucleotide (FMN) biosynthesis and transport proteins. This element is a metabolite-dependent riboswitch that directly binds FMN in the absence of proteins. The record is from RNAcentral. Lineage: Bacteria; Bacillati; Actinomycetota; Actinomycetes; Micrococcales; Microbacteriaceae.
AAGCGCUCCGGGGUCGGUGCAAGUCCGAACCGGUGGUGACAGUCCACGAGCUGACGACGGGUCCACGCCCGACCGAUGCUGACCCGGUGUGAACUCCGGGACCGACGGUGAGAGUCCGGAUGGAAGGAUGCGCUG